GCCACAUCAUGUUGAAAUACUGGUUCUCGUAAGAUCCCCGAAGUUAAGCAACGUCAAGCCUGGCCAGUACCUAGAGGGGUGACCACUAGGGAAUACCAGGUGUUGUAAG
Molecule: non-coding RNA, 109 nt
Organism: Acanthosepion pharaonis
Lineage: Eukaryota; Metazoa; Mollusca; Cephalopoda; Sepiida; Sepiidae
Source: the annotation of a GenBank genome assembly